This 122-nucleotide small RNA is filed under the name Marmota monax (woodchuck). Lineage: Eukaryota; Metazoa; Chordata; Mammalia; Rodentia; Sciuridae. The record is from RNAcentral.
GCUGGGCGCAGUGGCACACGCCUGUAAUCCCAGCAACUCCGGAAGCUGAGGCAGAAGGAUCACUUCAAAGCCAGCUUCAGCAACAGUGAGGCUGUAAGCAACUCAGUGAGACCCUGUGUCUA